AUUGAACGCUGGCGGCAUGCCUUACACAUGCAAGUCGAACGGCAGCACGGGUGCUUGCACCUGGUGGCGAGUGGCGAACGGGUGAGUAAUACAUCGGAACGUACCUUAUCGUGGGGGAUAACGCAGCGAAAGCUGUGCUAAUACCGCAUACGCCCUGAGGGGGAAAGCGGGGGAUCGCAAGACCUCGCGCGAUUAGAGCGGCCGAUGCCUGAUUAGCUUGUUGGUGGGGUAAAAGCCCACCAAGGCGACGAUCAGUAGCUGGUCUGAGAGGACGAUCGGCCAAACUGGGACUGAGACACGGCCCAGACUCCUACGGGAGGCAGCAGUGGGGAAUUUUGGACAAUGGGGGGAAUCCUGAUCAAGCAAUGCCGCGUGAGUGAAGAAGGCCUUCGGGUUGUAAAGCUCUUUUGUCAGGGAAGAAACACCGGCUCUAACACAGUCCGGGAAUGACGGUACCUGAGGAAUAAGCACCGGCUAACUACGUGCCAGCCGCCGCCGUAA
RNAcentral lists this ribosomal RNA (501 nucleotides) under uncultured bacterium. RNAcentral describes it as "partial 16S ribosomal RNA". It matches the Rfam family "Bacterial small subunit ribosomal RNA", at positions 29 to 523 of the family's 1533-position model. The record is from RNAcentral.